CCAGAAGCCACAGGCUGCUAAGCAAAAGCAGUAAUCGGGCAGCAAGCAGAUGGGAUAAGAUGACUGGGGUUUGGCCAGAUGAUUUGGUGCUGGGGCUCCCUACACAACUACCACCAGGAAGGAGGAGCCCACACAUUUCUGGAAUCUGCCACUUUUAAUCGUGAACGGAGGCUCGGCCUGGUCAGCCCAGGAGCCUGAAGUCAUAUCCAAGAGGCUGCCAUGAAAUGAGGAGACAUCUUGGCCACGGGAUUCUUUUCCCUUAAGGCAAAGGACUCUGGGUGUCCUUCACUCCUAAACCAAGCCUCCUUUGCUGGAAGUUCUGCACCCUUCCUGGGCAUCCUGGGAGCAUGGCAUUGGCAUUAGCUGAUACUCGGAUGCCUUUUGCCUGGAUCAGCCAAAAACCCACAGGUAGGGCUGCUGCCUCUACCAGGAGACCAGAAGCCUGACAAGCUAAGGAUGCUCCGUCUCCUCAGACAAGAAGGAUGCUGGGCGAGCUCAGUACAGAACAGGAGUCACAGCCAGAGUUGCCACCAAGUGUACUUUAUUGACUCCACUGUGGACAGAUAUACGAAGGGCAGAAUGGAUCAAGGAAGAGAUCGUUAAGUCUGACUUCAGAGCCCCUGUUCACCUCUAGAUGUACAACCUUCACCAUCGACCAGAGCCUCAAAAGCUGGAGCAGGUCACACAUCCGUAAUGCCGGCACUUGGGAACUGUAAGCAGGAGGAUCCAUUCAAGGUCCACUCUGGACUACGUGAGAUCUUGUCUCAAAUAAAUGAAUAACAAGUA
This 786-nucleotide non-coding RNA is filed under the name Rattus norvegicus (Norway rat). The record is from RNAcentral. Lineage: Eukaryota; Metazoa; Chordata; Mammalia; Rodentia; Muridae.